This 3555-nucleotide long non-coding RNA is filed under the name Malus domestica (apple). Its description in RNAcentral is "long non-coding RNA (MDOM_LNC015782)". The record is from RNAcentral. Lineage: Eukaryota; Viridiplantae; Streptophyta; Magnoliopsida; Rosales; Rosaceae.
AUUAAAAUCUAUGUCGGUCAGAACCGACGUAGGCUUUAAAAUAUUUAAAAACAGUAAUUAGUGUCGCCUAGAAGUGACAUCUAUACCCACACCAGUAUUUAAAAAUUAUUAAAAUAAAUGUCGGUUUUAAGCGACAUUAAUUGUUUACAUCGGUUAAGAGCGACAUAGACAGUUUAUGACACUUACAACCGACAAUAAAUCUGACUUCAUAUUUAGUAGGUGUCACAAAUGUCUUAUCUGCCACUAUAUUAUAUUAAAGCGACAUCAUCCAGUGACACAAUAAGUCCAUUUUGUAGUAGUGCAUUCUCACUCACUCUAAAUCUUGCCAAAAGGUAUAUUCUACCCAAAUAUUAAUUUUUUUUUUCAUUAAUAUGUGUUUUUGGAGUUAAUUUUGAGUUUGGUUUAGGGCUUCGGGACAAGUAUAGGGAGAUGGGUGGAGUUUGGGGUUGGAUUUGGGGUCUAUCAAUUUUAGGGGAGAUUAUGCUAAUUUUUUGGUACUAUUUUAUAUUGUUUUUCGGUUAUUUGACCAUGUUUUUUUGUUGUAGGGAAUUGUAGAGACUUUGAUGGGUAAAGUUGAGGAUUAAGACGCUAUCGAACCAUAUCUGUAACGACCCAAAAUUCUUAUUUGGAAGCUAAAUCCGGUGAUAGGCCAACAUAAAGUCAUGGUUAAUCUCUACACUAUUAACCAUAAUAAAUUUCUUUCCUUAAAAAAAAAGUCAAACACAAUAUUAAAUUCGGGUUAUUUUAUGGAUGCAUCUAACCUUCUCAUUAGACUGCCUACGUACGCUACGAAGGGAUGCCAUUCGUAGUUCACCGCUUAAACAUGUUGAGUAUAACAAACAAAAACAGCAUUAAUUAAGCCAUCAAACACAUACCAUCAUCAUAUGUUACAUUUCCUUCCAAACUACAGCAAAUCACCUUUUGUACACUUCACCGAAUGUUCCACCACAUAGCUGCUUCUUAAACAUCCCAUCUUGAAAACUAAAUGACUAAACCAAGAUGCUAGAUAAAUUAAUAAAUGAUGGUACAAAUAUAAUGGAAAAGGGACCAUUUGAAAGAGCACUGACUACAUUGUGCAAUCUUAUCCGAAGGUUUCAUAUGUUAUAUAUUUAUAUAUAGAGAGAGGGAGAGAGGCCAUAUAUACUUCUAAUGGAAUGCUUUUGGUUAAUUAUACUUUAGCAAAGUGCCAUACCCUAAAGCCGAUCAUCUCAAUCUCGGAGGAAACUAACUCUGCUACAUCUUUCUCAAACCAUUUAAUCGAGUUUAUGACAUGAGCAGAUUAUCAAUUUGAUCCAAAAGGAACUAUAAAUGGGUAUCAAAUAAAUUGAACCAAUAGUCAUUUCAACUUUUAUACCGAAGUAGUCAAUUCAGCUUUUGUGUAUAUAGCAAACAUAAGACUAGUCUUGAAAAACGGAACUAAUAUAUGACAGGUAAUUUACUCCACCCAAUAAUUGAUGUCAUACAAAAUAUCACUUUCAGGUAUUAUAUCAAAUUAGGGUUUAGGUAUUGGCACAUAAAACUACCUUUUGCAGCAUAUAAGUAUAUUCAUAUAAAAACUUACACAUACAGCAACUGCAUAUAAGACUAUUUCCCAUAGUAGCGUCCAAAUAAAUGACCAUAUAAGGAAUUAAGAGAAUCAAAGAAUAAUUACCAAGGCUUUCCACCCAUUGGAUAAGAACAUACAAAACCAUGUUUAUUUCAUGAUUCAGACCCAUCUUCUUCGACCCUCUUCUUCCUUUUCUCAUCCUUGCCUUCUCUGUCACCCUCUCUCCCUCCUUCAGUUCUAGGUUUCAUGUGUCUCCACUUAUACAACUGGGUGUAGAGUUGAUUUAUACCAUAGGGAGAUGAGGUUAGAAAAUGAAGGGAAGCAAGAUGUGAUGGUGAUCAACGGUGAGAUGAAUUUGGGAGAGGUGAUGGAAAGUGCCAACCUCCUUCCUUAUGCAACCCCCACCUAAAAGGAGAUCGAUAGGGAAGAAAGAGUUCUUCCAAGUUCUCUAGAAUUCUCCCCCUCUCUUCGAAGAGAAAACACAGCAGGAAAAAGAAAGGGCAUGCCCCCCCCCCCCGGGGCUGCAAACCCAAACAUCAAAAAUAUCUUGGACUAAACCAAAUUUACAAAAAUACCUAUAAACUUGUUUAUUAAUUUCUCAUUCAUUACAACUUCGUUUUACGGGGGUUUUCGCCUACAUGCUCAUGGAAUCAUCCUCUAUCCAGAUAUGUCAAGAAAUACGAUAAAAUAUAUGAGGACCAAACUCUAUUCAAUUUUUCAUAACCAUAAAUCGAUUUAUUUUCGAUUUUCUACACAUAUUCAUAAUUAUGAAUAUCUAACUCAUAUAUUUAAAUUUUUAGGGUAUUACAUUCACCCCCGGUUAAAAUAAAUCUCAUCCCCGAGAUUUCAACCAUCGAGUUACGAAAAGAAAUUUAAGGCUAAUUCCACCAUUCCAUUUAUAGCGAAUAAAAUCAUAACCUCAGUCUACGAUUUUAGUCAAGCUCCAAAAAUAAGCAAACCAACGUAUAAUAAUCGUGAUUCUUACCCACAUUCUCAGAUUCCCAACCACAUUCAUUGGCAGAAUAAAUAUAAAAAAUUCUAGCCAUACCCAUUGACAAAAUAAAUAUCCACAUCAACCCACAAUCCUCAUGGCCUAAAAUAAAUACUAGAUUAUCAAACCACAUCCACUAUUGGUUAGAUAAAUACUAACAUAAUAAUCACAAUCAUUGGUAAACCAUUUAUCAUCAUUGGCUAAAGAAAUAUUAGAAAUGCAAGCCAUUAUCAUCCGUUGCUAAAUAAAUAUCACACUCACUGGGUAAUGGAAAGAAAUUUAAAACCAAAUCCGCAAUACCGUUAACAUUGAACGAAAUCAAAAUCUUAUUCUAUGAUUUCAUUCAUAUCCUCACGUGAACCAAAUAACCAAAAACAUUACACGUACCACACAAUUGGGAAAACUUUAUCAGAGUGACACAAUAGCUAGGUUAAAGUUAUUUCCUUCAUUCUUCACCACUAUAUAUUAAACCAAUCAUAGCCUCGGUUUGUGAUUUCAUUCCCAUUCGUAAAAUCAUCGUGACUUUGACAAAUAUUAAAAUUUCCAACCAUAAUUAUCAUUGGUCAUAAGAUUUUAAAAUUUCUAGCCAUAAUUAUCAUUGACAAAACAAUAAUUUCAUCACCCUUUUUCUUUUAUCCCAAUCAGGGACUAGUAGACUGAAAAAGAUUAUAAUAUACCUGGCCAAUACACAACACACAUUUUUAUCACUUCAAUAAUUCAUUAUCACAGCCCACACGUAGAGCUUCUCCUCGAAAACAUUGGGUCUUUGUGCCCACUCAUCCAUUCCUUCACAUUCCACGGGUCAUUUUGCCUAAUUCAUCAUUCACGGGCCACUUUGCCCAAUCAGACAUCCUCGGGCCUUUUUGCCCAAAUCAAUAUCCAUGGGCUCUUUUCGCCCAACCAAACAUUCCUCCCAUUCCACGGGCUAUCAUGUCCAAAUCGACAUCUUAUGGCCUCUUUCGCCCAAUUCAACAUCCACGGGCCUUUUUCACCCAAUUCAACAUCCACGAGCCUUUUU